GCAAUAUUCAUACAGUAUGUAUAUAACAUGUAAAGAAAAGACUUACAUAACUGUGGAAACUAAAUAGACAAAUUAUACCAUGGAUAGUACCGAAUCAAGCCGACGAUGAAUGAAAGGGAGGUUUUUUUUUGCGGGAAAAGAACUGUUGAUAUUUAGCACAGGGUUCUUACAGAAAGGUCAUGAGACAAAAAAAAUUACAUUGAAGCCCCCAGCACCCCGUUGACGAAGACGACGACGAAAACGUAUCGCCGGCGCGCCGCCGCUGCUGCUCCACACAAGCCUUGGAUUUGGAACAGACCCUCCGCGGACGGGAAGUCGACGAAGCUCAGCCCCGGAAGACCUCCAUCCCGCAUCGUCAAAGCCAACGCCCUGCACCGCACCACCAGCUCGAUUCAGAACUUCGAGAUCCCGGAUCCGCCGUCCCGCGGACUCCGGUGAGGGAAAAGUGCACCCAGCAGCUCCACCGAGCCCCGAGCACGAGGAAGACGGAAGAUCGACAGCGGAGCUCCUCGGACCUCCACCGCCGGAGAGGAAGACCUCCGUCGCAAAACGCCACUCCGGCCGCGCCGCCCACUCCCCAACGCCGCCGGCUAGCUCCCAAACCGAACCUACGCUAUAUACACGCCGCAGAUCGGGACCUCCCCAUCCUCCCGCUGCCGGAGCAGCCACCGAAGGGUGAGGAACCCGCCGAUCUGGCGGCGGCGAGGUGGAUCGCCCGGGGUCGCCCAAAAGUCGCCCUUUCUCUACUGUGGACGGGGAAAGGAUAAGGCUCCAAGGCGCACAAUGAAAGGGAGUUUGUUCCAAAAAAAAAUAGUAAGACCCAAAAUAGGGUAGCAGAUUGUAUGAAAAAUU
This 852-nucleotide ribosomal RNA is filed under the name Triticum aestivum (bread wheat). Its description in RNAcentral is "partial small subunit ribosomal RNA". The record is from RNAcentral. Lineage: Eukaryota; Viridiplantae; Streptophyta; Magnoliopsida; Poales; Poaceae.